CGAACGGGUAAGUAACGCGUGGGGAAUCUGCCUUUGAGCGGGGGACAACAUUUGGAAACGAAUGCUAAUACCGCAUAAAAACUUUAAACACAAGUUUUAAGUUUGAAAGAUGCAAUUGCAUCACCCAAAGAUGAUCCCGCGUUGUAUUAGCUAGUUGGUGAGGUAAAAGCUCACCAAGGCGAUGAUACAUAGCCGACCUGAGAGGGUGAUCGGCCACAUUGGGACUGAGACACGGCCCAAACUCCUACGGAAGGCAGCAG
RNAcentral lists this ribosomal RNA (260 nucleotides) under uncultured bacterium. Its description in RNAcentral is "partial 16S ribosomal RNA". It matches the Rfam family "Bacterial small subunit ribosomal RNA", at positions 99 to 354 of the family's 1533-position model. The record is from RNAcentral.